This 565-nucleotide ribosomal RNA is filed under the name uncultured bacterium. RNAcentral's name for it is "partial 16S ribosomal RNA". It matches the Rfam family "Bacterial small subunit ribosomal RNA", at positions 355 to 937 of the family's 1533-position model. The record is from RNAcentral.
UGGGGAAUAUUGCACAAUGGGCGAAAGCCUGAUGCAGCGACGCCGCGUGAGGGAUGACGGCCUUCGGGUUGUAAACCUCUUUCAGCAGGGAAGAAGCGAAAGUGACGGUACCUGCAGAAGAAGCGCCGGCUAACUACGUGCCAGCAGCCGCGGUAAUACGUAGGGCGCAAGCGUUGUCCGGAAUUAUUGGGCGUAAAGAGCUCGUAGGCGGUUAGUCGCGUCUGCUGUGAAAACUCGAGGCUCAACCUCGGGCUUGCAGUGGGUACGGGCUGACUAGAGUGCGGUAGGGGUGACUGGAAUUCCUGGUGUAGCGGUGGAAUGCGCAGAUAUCAGGAGGAACACCGAUGGCGAAGGCAGGUCACUGGGCCGCAACUGACGCUGAGGAGCGAAAGCAUGGGGAGCGAACAGGAUUAGAUACCCUGGUAGUCCAUGCCGUAAACGUUGGGCACUAGGUGUGGGGUCCAUUCCACGGAUUCCGUGCCGCAGCAACGCAUUAAGUGCCCCGCCUGGGGAGUACGGCCGCAAGGCUAAACUCAAAUGAAUUGACGGGGUCAUAGCUGUUUCC